GUGGGGAAUAUUGGACAAUGGGCGAAAGCCUGAUCCAGCCAUGCCGCGUGUGUGAAGAAGGUCUUCGGAUUGUAAAGCACUUUAAGUUGGGAGGAAGGGCAGUAAGUUAAUACCUUGCUGUUUUGACGUUACCGACAGAAUAAGCACCGGCUAACUUCGUGCCAGCAGCCGCGGUAAUACGAAGGGUGCAAGCGUUAAUCGGAAUUACUGGGCGUAAAGCGCGCGUAGGUGGUUUUGUAAGUUGGAGGUGAAAUCCCCGGGCUCAACCUGGGAACUGCCUCCAAAACUGCAUGACUAGAGUACGGUAGAGGGUAGUGGAAUUUCCUGUGUAGCGGUGAAAUGCGUAGAUAUAGGAAGGAACACCAGUGGCGAAGGCGACUACCUGGACUGAUACUGACACUGAGGUGCGAAAGCGUGGGGAGCAAACAGGAUUAGAAACCCGGGUAGCC
This 449-nucleotide ribosomal RNA is filed under the name uncultured bacterium. Its description in RNAcentral is "partial 16S ribosomal RNA". It matches the Rfam family "Bacterial small subunit ribosomal RNA", at positions 354 to 795 of the family's 1533-position model. The record is from RNAcentral.